RNAcentral lists this long non-coding RNA (200 nucleotides) under Elaeis guineensis (African oil palm). RNAcentral's name for it is "long non-coding RNA (EGUI_LNC040500)". The record is from RNAcentral. Lineage: Eukaryota; Viridiplantae; Streptophyta; Magnoliopsida; Arecales; Arecaceae.
UGCUGCACCAACAAGUCCUUCAUCCGUUGCUGCCAUAAGGUGAAGUUUUUCUUACCUUCGAACUUCUCAAACUCCAUCUUGAAACUACUUGAAGCCAUUGCACCCUCCAAGCAAACAGCCAGCCCAACACCCUUUUGCAAUACCACACCUCACACCCCUCCACAUUCCUCCAACCCUUGAAUCAAAAACAACCCUCCACC